Molecule: ribosomal RNA, 231 nt
Filed under: uncultured archaeon
Lineage: Archaea
Description: partial 16S ribosomal RNA
Rfam family: Archaeal small subunit ribosomal RNA
Source: RNAcentral
GGUGUAUCGGUGACUACGAGUCACCGUAGGUGCCGAAGAGAAACCGUGAAACGUGCCGCCUGGGAAGUACGGUCGCAAGGCUGAAACUUAAAGGAAUUGGCGGGGGAGCACCACAACAGGUGGAGCCUGCGGUUUAAUCGGACUCAACGCCGGGAAGCUCACCGGAUAAGACAGCUGAAUGAUAGCCGGGCUGAAGACUCUGCUUGACUAGCUGAGAGGAGGUGCAUGGCA